GUGAACGCUGGCGGUAGGCCUAACACAUGCCAGUCGAACGGCAGCACAGUAAGAGCUUGCUCUUACGGGUGGCGAGUGGCGGACGGGUGAGGAAUACAUCGGAAUCUACUUUUUCGUGGGGGAUAACGUAGGGAAACUUACGCUAAUACCGCAUACGACCUACGGGUGAAAGCCGGGGAUCUUCGGACCUUGCGCGAUUGAAUGAGCCGAUGUCGGAUUAGCUAGUUGGCGGGGUAAAGGCCCACCAAGGCGACGAUCCGUAGCUGGUCUGAGAGGAUGAUCAGCCACACUGGAACUGAGACACGGUCCAGACUCCUACGGGAGGCAGCAGUGGGGAAUAUUGGACAAUGGGCGCAAGCCUGAUCCAGCCAUACCGCGUGGGCGAAGAAGGCCUUCGGGUUGUAAAGCCCUUUUGUUGGGAAAGAAAAGCAGCAGGUUAAUACCCCGCUGUUCUGACGGUACCCAAAGAAUAAGCACCGGCUAACUUCGUG
Molecule: ribosomal RNA, 491 nt
Filed under: uncultured bacterium
Lineage: Bacteria
Description: partial 16S ribosomal RNA
Rfam family: Bacterial small subunit ribosomal RNA
Source: RNAcentral